Molecule: ribosomal RNA, 468 nt
Filed under: uncultured bacterium
Lineage: Bacteria
Description: partial 16S ribosomal RNA
Rfam family: Bacterial small subunit ribosomal RNA
Source: RNAcentral
GACGAACGCUGGCGGCGUGCUUAACACAUGCAAGUCGAACGGAAAGGCCCUGCUUUUGUGGGGUGCUCGAGUGGCGAACGGGUGAGUAACACGUGAGUAACCUGCCCUUGACUUUGGGAUAACUUCAGGAAACUGGGGCUAAUACCGGAUAGGGGCUCCUGCUGCAUGGUGGGGGUUGGAAAGUUUCGACGGUUGGGGAUGGACUCGCGGCUUAUCAGCUUGUUGGUGGGGUAGUGGCUUACCAAGGCUUUGACGGGUAGCCGGCCUGAGAGGGUGACCGGCCACAUUGGGACUGAGAUACGGCCCAGACUCCUACGGGAGGCAGCAGUGGGGAAUAUUGCACAAUGGGCGGAAGCCUGAUGCAGCAACGCCGCGUGCGGGAUGACGGCCUUCGGGUUGUAAACCGCUUUCGCCUGUGACGAAGCGUGAGUGACGGUAAUGGGUAAAGAAGCACCGGCUAACUACGUG